UGUUAAUAAUUUUAUUCAUUUCUACGGUUAAAAACUAGCAUCACUAACAGAAUAACCAAACAGUGACAUAUAGCAUGUCAUAAGUAUUUCAUGUUGACAAAUAGAGACCAACUUUUAACAAUAAAAAUAGAUGAAAUUUUUAAUA
MicroRNA precursor from Gossypium arboreum, 145 nucleotides. It matches the Rfam family "MIR7502 microRNA precursor family". NCBI's taxonomy places the organism in Eukaryota, Viridiplantae, Streptophyta, Magnoliopsida, Malvales, Malvaceae. The record is from Rfam.